RNAcentral lists this transfer RNA (89 nucleotides) under Usitatibacter rugosus. RNAcentral describes it as "Nitrosomonadales bacterium 0125_3 tRNA-Thr". Lineage: Bacteria; Pseudomonadati; Pseudomonadota; Betaproteobacteria; Nitrosomonadales; Usitatibacteraceae. The record is from RNAcentral.
UCGAGAUCGCGGACGGCGAGUUCGUGGUCUUCGUGGGGCCGUCGGGCUGCGGCAAGUCCACGCUGCUGCGUUUGAUCGCGGGUCUCGAA